Molecule: non-coding RNA, 48 nt
Filed under: Trypanosoma lewisi
Lineage: Eukaryota; Euglenozoa; Kinetoplastea; Trypanosomatida; Trypanosomatidae
Source: RNAcentral
AUAUAACAAAUACAGAUUCAGGUAGGUGGUAUAGUGGUAUAGAAUCGG